This 253-nucleotide ribosomal RNA is filed under the name uncultured bacterium. Its description in RNAcentral is "partial 16S ribosomal RNA". It matches the Rfam family "Bacterial small subunit ribosomal RNA", at positions 524 to 776 of the family's 1533-position model. The record is from RNAcentral.
UACGUAGGUGGCAAGCGUUAUCCGGAUUUAUUGGGCGUAAAGGGAACGCAGGCGGUCUUUUAAGUCUGAUGUGAAAGCCUUCGGCUUAACCGGAGUAGUGCAUUGGAAACUGGGAGACUUGAGUGCAGAAGAGGAGAGUGGAACUCCAUGUGUAGCGGUGAAAUGCGUAGAUAUAUGGAAGAAUACCAGUGGCGAAAGCGGCUCUCUGGUCUGUAACUGACGCUGAGGUUCGAAAGCGUGGGUAGCAAACAGG